This 456-nucleotide ribosomal RNA is filed under the name uncultured bacterium. RNAcentral's name for it is "bacterial SSU rRNA". It matches the Rfam family "Bacterial small subunit ribosomal RNA", at positions 340 to 784 of the family's 1533-position model. The record is from RNAcentral.
UACGGAAAGGCAGCAGUGGGGAAUAUUGCACAAUGGGCGCAAGCCCUGAUGCAGCCAUGCCGCGUGUAUGAAGAAGGCCUUCGGGUUGUAAAGUACUUUCAGUCGUGAGGAAGGUGUUAAGGUUAAUAACCUUAGCAAUUGACGUUAGCGACAGAAGAAGCACCGGCUAACUCCGUGCCAGCAGCCGCGGUAAUACGGAGGGUGCGAGCGUUAAUCGGAAUUACUGGGCGUAAAGGGCACGCAGGCGGUUAAUUAAGUUGGAUGUGAAAUCCCCGGGCUUAACCUGGGAAUGGCAUUCAAGACUGGUUAGCUAGAGUCUUGUAGAGGGGGUUAGAAUUCCAUGUGUAGCGGUGAAAUGCGUAGAGAUGUGGAGGAAUACCGGUGGCGAAGGCGGCCCCUGGACAAAGGCUGACGCUCAUGUGCGAAACGCGUGGGGAGCGAAACAGGGAUUAGAUA